This 253-nucleotide ribosomal RNA is filed under the name uncultured bacterium. RNAcentral's name for it is "partial 16S ribosomal RNA". It matches the Rfam family "Bacterial small subunit ribosomal RNA", at positions 524 to 777 of the family's 1533-position model. The record is from RNAcentral.
UACGUAGGGUCCGAGCGUUGUCCGGAGUUACUGGGCGUAAAGCGCACGUAGGCGGCUUUCUAAGUCAGGGGUGAAAUCCUGGAGCUCAACUCCAGAACUGCCUUUGAUACUGGGAGCUCGAGUCCGGAAGAGGUGAGUGGAACUCCGAGUGUAGAGGUGAAAUUCGUAGAUAUUCGGAAGAACACCAGUGGCGAAGGCGGCUCACUGGUCCGGUACUGACGCUGAGGUGCGAAAGCGUGGGGAGCAAACAGGG